RNAcentral lists this ribosomal RNA (550 nucleotides) under Plectosphaerella cucumerina. RNAcentral describes it as "eukaryotic LSU rRNA". The stretch from base 186 to 339 matches the Rfam family "5.8S ribosomal RNA". The record is from RNAcentral. Lineage: Eukaryota; Fungi; Ascomycota; Sordariomycetes; Glomerellales; Plectosphaerellaceae.
AAGUCGUAACAAGGUCUCCGUUGGUGAACCAGCGGAGGGAUCAUUACUGAGUACUACACUCUCUACCCUUUGUGAACUAUUAUACCUGUUGCUUCGGCGGCGCCCGCAAGGGUGCCCGCCGGUCUCAUCAGAAUCUCUGUUUUCGAACCCGACGAUACUUCUGAGUGUUCUUAGCGAACUGUCAAAACUUUUAACAACGGAUCUCUUGGCUCCAGCAUCGAUGAAGAACGCAGCGAAACGCGAUAUGUAAUGUGAAUUGCAGAAUUCAGUGAAUCAUCGAAUCUUUGAACGCACAUGGCGCCUUCCAGUAUCCUGGGAGGCAUGCCUGUCCGAGCGUCGUUUCAACCCUCGAGCCCCUGUGGCCCGGCGUUGGGGAUCUGCCACGGCAGGCCCCUAAAACCAGUGGCGGACCCGAAGGCCCUCUCCUUUGCGCAGUAGCAUCAGCCUCGCAUUGGGAUCCCUCGGCGUCCUGCCUCUAAACCCCCCACAAGUCCGCUCCGGCGGCACCAAGGUUGACCUCGGAUCAGGUAGGAAUACCCGCUGAACUUAA